AGGAAAAGAAACCAACAGGGAUUGCCCCAGUAACGGCGAGUGAAGCGGCAACAGCUCAAAUUUGAAAUCUGGCCCCCAGGGCCCGAGUUGUAAUUUGCAGAGGAUGCUUUUGGCGCGGUGCCUUCCGAGUUCCCUGGAACGGGACGCCAUAGAGGGUGAGAGCCCCGUCUGGUCGGACGCCUAGCCUGUGUAAAGCUCCUUCGACGAGUCGAGUAGUUUGGGAAUGCUGCUCUAAAUGGGAGGUAUAUGUCUUCUAAAGCUAAAUACCGGCCAGAGACCGAUAGCGCACAAGUAGAGUGAUCGAAAGAUGAAAAGCACUUUGAAAAGAGGGUUAAAUAGUACGUGAAAUUGUUGAAAGGGAAGCGCUUGUGACCAGACUUGGGCCCGGUGGAUCAUCCAGCGUUCUCGCUGGUGCACUCCGCCGGGUUCAGGCCAGCAUCAGUUCGCCGCGGGGGAAAAAGGCUUCGGGAACGUGGCUCCUACGGGAGUGUUAUAGCCCGUUGCAUAAUACCCUGGGGCGGACUGAGGUUCGCGCUCCGCAAGGAUGCUGGCGUAAUGGUCAUCAGCG
This 568-nucleotide ribosomal RNA is filed under the name Purpureocillium lilacinum. RNAcentral describes it as "eukaryotic LSU rRNA". It matches the Rfam family "Eukaryotic large subunit ribosomal RNA", at positions 54 to 646 of the family's 3401-position model. The record is from RNAcentral. Lineage: Eukaryota; Fungi; Ascomycota; Sordariomycetes; Hypocreales; Ophiocordycipitaceae.